This is a non-coding RNA of Peromyscus eremicus (cactus mouse), 369 nucleotides long. The record is from the annotation of a RefSeq genome assembly. NCBI's taxonomy places the organism in Eukaryota, Metazoa, Chordata, Mammalia, Rodentia, Cricetidae.
AUGAACACUUCUCCAGCUUUAGUGACUGUGAUGCUGCUGUUCAUGCUUGGGAGGACACAUGGAUACUCAGUGACUCAGAAACAAGGUCAAGUGACUCUCUCAAAAGAUGACUUCCUAUUUAUAAACUGCACUUAUUCAGCCACAGGGUACCCGACUCUUUUCUGGUAUGUCCAAUAUCCUGGAGAAGGUCCAGAACUCCUUUUGAAAGUCACAACAGCCAACAAGGGAAGCAGCCGUGGUUUUGAAGCUAUAUAUGAUAAAGAAUCCACCUCCUUCCACUUGCAGAAAGCCAUGGUCCAAGAGUCAGACUCAGCUGUGUACUACUGUGCUCUGGGUGACACAGUGGCAGAAACCACAUGGGGGAGCUGA